Acanthosepion pharaonis is the source of this 101-nucleotide non-coding RNA. NCBI's taxonomy places the organism in Eukaryota, Metazoa, Mollusca, Cephalopoda, Sepiida, Sepiidae. The record is from the annotation of a GenBank genome assembly.
ACGUUGAAACAUCGGUUCUCGUACGAUCACCGAAGUUAAGCAACGUCGAUCCUGGUCAGUAUUUAAAUGGGUGACCGCCUGAAAAUACUAGGUGCUGUAAU